UUGGCAUGAACGUUUAACGGCCCAUCGUCAAACCAUUCUGAAUAAAUACUGAUCAACUUUGUUAGAGUCUCGUCCGAGAUGCUCAACUCUUUAAAUGGAUAAUUCUUCCAGACUGAUAGGCUUCACUUUUUCUUUCUCUUUGAAAGCAGUUGAUGGACUAUCAACUAUGAUAGUAUGCUGUUAUGCAGUAGCUUCUACUGUCACAUCUACCUGGAAAGCCCAAAUUGUCAAUGCUAAUCACAAAGAUACAAGAAAAUAAAUAGAAAAAGAUAGCUCAUCUGUUGCAACAGAUGGUCCAUCUGUUAGAGAAAAUCAAAUAGGUAUUCCUACUGUUUUAAUUUAUCCCAACAGAUGACCUAUCAAUUGCAACAGAUGGGUCAUCUGUUUGAACAUAUUCAAACAGAAGAAAAACCUGUAUGAUAAGUUCUAACAAAUGACUCAUUUGCUGCAACAGAUGACUCAUCUAUUAAAACAAACUAAAAUAGUAGGAAGACAUAAUUUAAUUUAUCCCAAUAGAUGACCCAUCUACUACAACAGGUGGGUCAUCUGUUGGAAAAAAUUAAAAUAGUAGGAAUACCUGUUUGAUUUUCUCCAACAGAUGAGACAUCUGUUACAAUAGAUAAUGCAUUUGAUGUAAAAAAUAGUCAUCUGUUGCAACAGAUAUCUAUAUAUGUUUGAUAAUUUUCAACAGAUGUGUCAUCUGUUGAAAAAGAUAUGUAAUCUAUUUGUUUGUUCGAACGGAUGAUAAAUAUUCACCUUUUUCAGCUCAUGUUGUUCUCUUGUGGCCCUUGUACAUUGCUUAACAGUGCAAGACAAAGGAGUUGCAAUUUUUCUUUUGUUGAUGCUUGAUAAUGCCUUGGAAAUUGUUUUUUUAUCCUCUUAGCCUUAACCUCUAAUGGAGUCUAUGAAUCUGAAAUCCUCUUUGAUGGAAUGACACCCUUCUUAAAUGUUAAUUCCUUUAUAGUAGUAGUUAAUGCAUUAAUAGCAUUAAUCACUCCAUCAUAUUUCGCAUUUCAAACUUGAAAUUUGUAUGCACAAUAUAAGAUAGGAAAGGAAAGAUCUCCAAAAUAUUGACUACCCUUUUAUGUGAGAAAUCUGUAAUGUGCCCAAUUUAAAGAAGGGGUAUAUCAACCACCAAAAUCGGUAAAACUAGUAUAAUCAUAAUCAUACUAGUUUGUUGUUUCAAAAUAGCAAUAGAAGCAUCAACCAACUUAUCAACACCACCAGCCCAAACAACAGCACCAUCACCACUAUCACCACCAACAGCUCCAUCACAACCACCAUCAUUAGUAGCACCAUCAAUAACAACAAGCCCACCCUUCCAAAGCAUUUUUCUUGUGAUGGUUGUUGCUCCAACUAAUUAAUUUUUUAUUCUAUCAAUUAUCUUA
Molecule: long non-coding RNA, 1388 nt
Filed under: Capsicum annuum
Lineage: Eukaryota; Viridiplantae; Streptophyta; Magnoliopsida; Solanales; Solanaceae
Description: long non-coding RNA (CANN_LNC020201)
Source: RNAcentral